AUAUAGAAUAUACAACGCUAGGGAUGCUGGGAUAAUGAUCUUGUUCUUGUGGGCUGAGUUUAUAGAGCCGGUGCGAUAGGGGGCGGGGCUGGGUACCAGAAUGCACCGGGGCUGCUGUGCUGGAACCGGAGGCGGCUGGUGUAGCGCUGAUCCUCUCAGUUGGGAAAAGGUUGACUAUUACUCAAAGAGAUCAGCCAACUUUCCCAGGAUCUGAGGAGCCUACAGACUGUACAAUCAGUUGGAUUUGUUUAUUUACACCAUCUGGCCGAAGAAGACUGUGCUCACUCUUGGGCCCACUGAGGCCCAACAAUACUGAAAUAUAGACUGAAUGAUGCCUACUCAUCCUCAGGAAUCUCCAGCUAACUCUCGGCUACUCUUACACCCUUCUCUGCAACCAGUUCAUAGCAGUCAUAACAUCUCCCGCUACCAACUCAAUCAACUUGGCUUGAACUAAUAUGACAAAUGGCAUGACAUUUGCCAUUUUGUUUACGGAACAUACUGCAGCAGCUUCUGUUUAAGUAGAAGGAAGGGAAGACGGUCAAGGGAAGACGGUCAAGGGAAGACGGUCAAGGGAAGACGGUCAAGGGAAGACGGUCAAGGGAAGACGGUCAAGGGAAGACGGUCAAGGGAAGAAAAUAGGGAAGAAGGUCAGACGGACCAUUCCAAAUGUAGUGUGUGCAGUUGGAGCAUCUCAGCAUUAACUGUGUAUACUAGGGACGUAGUGGGAGUUCUGGGCCACCGUUAGAUAAGGAGGAAGCACAUCAGCCCGAGGGUUUGAGGAAUCGAGCUCAGCUAGAACUGGUGCCUUCCCAUAUGUCCCAUCAUAUACAUAACCUUCUGUGAGUGUAUUUUCCUUGAAACAUGGACCAUUAAAGAAUGCAAAGUGUGAUGGGGCCAUCAUGGAGGCAUCUUGCUUAGUUGCCCCUGGGCCUAGAAAUUCACCUCUGAUGUAUGAAAUGGAUACAGACAUGGUUGGUGGAUAUAAUGAAUCCACAGGCUCCAGCCAGGUCAGCACUAGCUCAGGGAUAAAGGUAGAGGAAAUUGAUGCAGAUGGAGCUGUUGACCCUUACUCAGGAAGCAUUCGUGGAGAUGGUGGGACUACGCAGGUUGUACAGGCCGAUAUUUCUACACCUCUCGUUCCCGUCGAGGUGGCGAGCUCUCCGUUCAGAGGGACUCAGGGUAGGUCGGCAGUUUGGGACUUUUUUGAGAUUCCCCCUGGCCAUACCGCUGGCAACUCAGUUGUGGUCAUCUGCAAGAUAUGCGGAGCCCUAGUAAGACGAGGAAGUCCCGGCUGUCGACUGGGAACCACCUGCCUUUUUAAUCAUCUUGGCAGGGUCCAUGGGAAGCAUCUGCAUCGAGGACCUGCUGCCAACCAGGCAUUGCUGCCCCAGAAUUCCAAUUCCCUGACUUCUUCUGCAGAUGGCAGUAGGGUCACCGGGUCUUCCACCUCUUCCCAUGCAUGGGGCAGGGAGGUGUCCUCCACAGAGAUCAUGGUAUUGAACCGUAGGCCUAACAGGCAACAGACACGGAAGAACUAUGUGCCCGUUCCGCUAAGACAUCAGCCCCAUGCAGCCUGUAGACGGCAGGAAGCCAAUCAGGGCAUUAAGGAGACAAGGGAUCGGGGUGGCAGUCGGUUCUCUGCCCACCAGCGGGCGCUAAUGGCACGUCUGUAUUCGGAUGUUCUUAUCCAUUGCGACCUGUGCCAUGUAUUGUUGUCCUCAGGCGAGCGAGACCAGCACGUCCGCGACACAAUCAUCAUGACUCACAUGAGGUCCCAGCAUCCUCAGCGAUUCUGUCGCUUGGAACGUGAAGCUGCUCGAGACCUGCUUCGUGGUGACCUAGUGCUUUGUUCUACAGAACAUAACCCCAGCUGUGAGGCAGGAGGUCCGAUCGACUGAGUCUCUAACAUUUUGCCCCGUCUGCCUCUCUUCAAGAUUCAGCUGCCACAAGGACAGAAAAGUUUCCCCUAGAACAUAUGAUUAGAACAAAGAUCAAGCUUCCUAAAGAGGUCGUAAACCCAACACUGUCCCACAGCGCCCCCUAGCUUUGCUAUAGAAGUUGUCAAAAAACAUAAUUAUAGAUGCAAGGAAAUUCCCCAAUGAG
RNA transcript from Xenopus tropicalis (tropical clawed frog), 2103 nucleotides. It is a transcript of the gene named zinc finger BED domain-containing protein 6, with no coding region annotated. NCBI's taxonomy places the organism in Eukaryota, Metazoa, Chordata, Amphibia, Anura, Pipidae. The record is from RefSeq and is a predicted model, not a curated record. The transcript is spliced from 3 exons.